This 466-nucleotide ribosomal RNA is filed under the name uncultured bacterium. Its description in RNAcentral is "bacterial SSU rRNA". It matches the Rfam family "Bacterial small subunit ribosomal RNA", at positions 338 to 795 of the family's 1533-position model. The record is from RNAcentral.
CCUANGGGGGGCAGCAGUGAGGAAUUUUGCGCAAUGGGGGAAACCCUGACGCAGCAACGCCGCGUGAGUGAUGAAGGCUUUCGGGUCGUAAAGCUCUGUCAGGUGGGAAGAACCUACUUAUGGCUAAUAUCCAUGAGUACUGACGGUACCACUGAAGGAAGCACCGGCUAACUCCGUGCCAGCAGCCGCGGUAAUACGGGGGGUGCAAGCGUUAUUCGGAUUUACUGGGCGUAAAGCGCGCGCAGGCGGUUUUGUAAGUCAGAUGUGAAAGCCCGGGGCUCAACCCCGGAAGUGCAUCUGAUACUGCAAGACUUGAGUAUGGGAGAGGGAAGUGGAAUUCCUGGUGUAGAGGUGAAAUUCGUAGAUAUCAGGAGGAACAUCGGUGGCGAAGGCGACUUCCUGGACCAAUACUGACGCUGAGGCGCGAAGGCGUGGGGAGCAAACAGGAUUAGAUACCCUUNUANUC